GGUGUUAUUCGGGCCAAAGCUCGCCCUUGUGGUGUGGCUGGGUUCGGGCAUCCUAAGUUUAGGUAGUGAUGUAAAAAGUCGCUCCUAAUCGUUUACUUUGAAAAAAUUAGAGUGUUCAAAGCAGGCGUAACCUUGCCAUUGAAUAGUACAGCAUGGGAUAAUAGAAUAUGACGUUGGUCUUAUUUUGUUGGUUUCUAAGGCUGAUGUA
Molecule: ribosomal RNA, 208 nt
Filed under: uncultured fungus
Lineage: Eukaryota; Fungi
Description: partial small subunit ribosomal RNA
Rfam family: Eukaryotic small subunit ribosomal RNA (bases 83-208)
Source: RNAcentral